This is a long non-coding RNA of Antechinus flavipes (yellow-footed antechinus), 1040 nucleotides long. RefSeq lists it as uncharacterized. The record is from RefSeq and is a predicted model, not a curated record. Lineage: Eukaryota; Metazoa; Chordata; Mammalia; Dasyuromorphia; Dasyuridae. The transcript has 2 exons.
UUCAGGCAGUGGUUCCCAGGACUAUUUUACACACUUAAAAAUUACUGAGGAUGCUAGCUAGACCUGGAGAGAAGAAGACCUGAAUUCAAAUACGACUAUGUUUCCUUGGCAAAUCAUCUAAGCACCUGUUAAUAUAGUGCUGCCAAUGCUGGGUCCAUGACCACCUCUUAAGGAUCAUUGGGUAGGCAUUAUGCUGAAUUCUAAAUAUUGAAUUUAAUAGAACCACUGUUAGCAUAGAAAACAUGAGGAUAGACUUCAAUACCCAAAGUGGCCACAUACUUCUCAAAUCCACCAGUCAAGUGAUGUAAACAUUUGUAAAAUGUGGUUUUUUUCUACUGCUGUUAUCCCCAACACAAGCUUGAACUGAAUGUAGAGUUUUCCUUGGGCAUCCUUGGUGAUGUUCUAGAAGCAUCUGCCUUUGCCUGAAUGGAUUCCAAGUUAAGUGCAUUUCCCUCUGCACAUUGCCUUAACUUCAAUAGGACUGAGUUUUCUUUUCUAUAAAAUGAGGUAACUGGCCUCCAAGAUCUCUUACAGGCCUGAGGUUGUGUGAUUCUUGACACAAAAACUGACUAGAUGGUAUUACUGCCUCCUACAUACUAAAAGUGUUAGGAAUACAAAGAUUAAAAAUGAAAAUAUGCCCUUAAAAAUCUUACAAUGACAUUCAAUAUACUGAAAAUACAUCUCCAUAGAUAUAUACAAUAUAUUUUUUUAAUACCUGAUGUGUAAUUUCAUAGGUAUGCAGAACUCUCCCUACCAAUGUAGAUUGGCUUGUCAGUCAAUCAGCCAUCAGCCAAUAAACAUUAAGUGCCCAUUACAGACCAGGCAGGGUGCUCAGGGUUAGGGAUACAAAGAAAGGUAAAGCAAAAUCUCUGCCCUCAAGGAGCACACAAUCUAAAGAGGUAAUCAUGUAAAAAAACUAUGUACAAAGUACGGACAGGAUAUACUGUAGAUAAUCAAUGGAGGACAAAUAUGGAAAUUUAAGAUCAUUGUACAUGAUAAUCAAUGGAGGGAAGGGAUUAGAAUUGAGGGAAUGAAGAAGG